AGUGAACGCUGGCGGUAGGCCUAACACAUGCAAGUCGAACGGCAGCACAGUAAGAGCUUGCUCUUACGGGUGGCGAGUGGCGGACGGGUGAGGAAUACAUCGGAAUCUACUUUUUCGUGGGGGAUAAGGAGGGAAACUUAAGCUAAAAACGCAUAAGACCUUCGGGGGAAAGCAAGGGAACUUUGGACCUUGCGCCAUUGGAUGAGCCGAUGUCGGAUUAGCUAGUUGGCGGGGUAAAGGCCCACCAAGGCGACGAUCCGUAGCUGGUCUGAGAGGAUGAUCAGCCACACUGGAACUGAGACACGGUCCAGACUCCUACGGGAGGCAGCAGUGGGGAAUAUUGGACAAUGGGCGCAAGCCUGAUCCAGCCAUACCGCGUGGGUGAAGAAGGCCUUCGGGUUGUAAAGCCCUUUUGUUGGGAAAGAAAAGCAGCAGGUUAAUACCCCGCUGUUCUGACGGUACCCAAAGAAUAAGCACCGGCUAACUUCGUG
Molecule: ribosomal RNA, 491 nt
Filed under: uncultured bacterium
Lineage: Bacteria
Description: partial 16S ribosomal RNA
Rfam family: Bacterial small subunit ribosomal RNA
Source: RNAcentral